This 497-nucleotide ribosomal RNA is filed under the name uncultured bacterium. RNAcentral's name for it is "partial 16S ribosomal RNA". It matches the Rfam family "Bacterial small subunit ribosomal RNA", at positions 28 to 507 of the family's 1533-position model. The record is from RNAcentral.
GAUGAACGCUGGCGGCGUGCCUAAUACAUGCAAGUCGAGCGAACAGACGAUGAGCUUGUUCCUUUGACGUUAGCGGCGGACGGGUGAGUAACGCGUGGAUCACCUACUUAUAUUACGGGGAUCAUUUCGGAAAACCGGAUCUAAUCCCGUAUAAUAUCUUGAACCGCAUUGUUCAAUGGUGAAUUACGGUUUUGGUGUAUCUACUAGCUGGUUUCGCGCUGGAUGAGCUAGUUGGUAAGGUAACAGCUUACCAAGGCUACGAUGCGUAGCCGAACUGAGAGGGUGAUCGGCGACACUGGAACUGAGACACGGUCAAGGCUCCUACGGGAGGCAGCAGUCGGCAAUGGUCGGCAAUGGGCGAAAGCCUGACACAGCGACGCCGAGUGAGUGAUGAAGGCCUUCCGUUCGUAAAGCCCUGUUAUUGGGUAAGAACAGCUGUGUAAUUAAACAUGGACGGCGUGACGGUACCGAAUCAAAAAGCACCGGCUAACUACGUG